Molecule: ribosomal RNA, 810 nt
Filed under: uncultured bacterium
Lineage: Bacteria
Description: bacterial SSU rRNA
Rfam family: Bacterial small subunit ribosomal RNA
Source: RNAcentral
AGAGUUUGAUCCUGGCUCAGAACGAACGCUGGCGGCGUGCCUAACACAUGCAAGUCGAACGUGAUUGGAAGCUUGCUUCCAUGAAAGUGGCGCACGGGCGAGUAACGCGUAGAUAAUCUACCUGAUGAUCCGGGAUAACACUUCGAAAGGGGUGCUAAUACCUGAUAAGCCCACGGGGUCUUCGGACUCUGCGGGAAAAGGGGGGGACCUUUAUCGGCCUUCCGUCAUCAGAUGAGUCUGCGUACCAUUAGCUAGUUGGUAGGGUAAAGGCCUACCAAGGCGACGAUGGUUAGCUGGUCUGAGAGGAUGAUCAGCCACACUGGAACUGAGACACGGUCCGGACUCCUACGGGAGGCAGCAGUGGGGAAUUUUGCGCAAUGGACGAAAGUCUGACGCAGCAACGCCGCGUGGGUGAUGAAGGUCUUCGGAUUGUAAAACCCUGUCGUCAGGGACGAAGGUUGGGAUCCUAAUACGAUUUCAGCUUGACGGUACCUGGAGAGGAAGCCCCGGCUAACUCUGUGCCAGCAGCCGCGGUAAUACAGAGGGGGCAAGCGUUAUUCGGAAUUAUUGGGCGUAAAGGGCGCGUAGGCGGUUUUGUAAGUAGGAUGUGUAAUCCCCGAGCUCAACUUGGGAACUGCAUCCUAGACUGCAAGGCUAGAGUACUGGAGAGAGUGGUAGAAUUCCACGUGUAGCGGUGAAAUGCGUAGAGAUGUGGAGGAAUACCAGUGGCGAAGGCGGCCACCUGGACAGUAACUGACGCUGAGGCGCGAAAGUGUGGGGAGCAAACAGGAUUAGAUACCCUGGUAGUCC